Molecule: unclassified non-coding RNA, 333 nt
Filed under: Hevea brasiliensis (rubber tree)
Lineage: Eukaryota; Viridiplantae; Streptophyta; Magnoliopsida; Malpighiales; Euphorbiaceae
Source: RNAcentral
AGUGGGUGAGAGAAGAGUAUUCCCAUACAGAGGUGUGGAAACAUGGCCUCGUCCCUUCAAGCCGCGGCAACCCUAAUCCCAGCCAAGAUCAGAGCUCCUGCCCGGACCCAUCUAAGAUCCAACUCUCACCUCUCCAAGGCCUUUGGCUUCGACAACUCCACCGCCGGCCGUCUAACCUGCUCCAUCAACUCUGAUCUCCGUGACAUCGCCCAGAAGUGCACCGAUGCCGCCAAGCUCGCCGGCUUCGCCCUCGCCACCUCCGCCCUCGUCAUCUCGGGAGCAAGCGCUGAGGGAGUGCCGAAGAGGCUGACCUUUGAUGAGAUCCAGAGCAAG